RNAcentral lists this ribosomal RNA (587 nucleotides) under uncultured bacterium. RNAcentral describes it as "bacterial SSU rRNA". It matches the Rfam family "Bacterial small subunit ribosomal RNA", at positions 338 to 916 of the family's 1533-position model. The record is from RNAcentral.
CCUACGGGAGGCAGCAGUAGGGAAUCUUCGGCAAUGGACGGAAGUCUGACCGAGCAACGCCGCGCGAGUGAAGAAGGUUUUCGGAUCGUAAAGCUCUGUUGUAAGAGAAGAACGGGUGUGAGAGUGGAAAGUUCACACUGUGACGGUAUCUUACCAGAAAGGGACGGCUAACUACGUGCCAGCAGCCGCGGUAAUACGUAGGUCCCGAGCGUUGUCCGGAUUUAUUGGGCGUAAAGCGAGCGCAGGCGGUUAGAUAAGUCUGAAGUUAAAGGCUGUGGCUUAACCAUAGUACGCUUUGGAAACUGUUUAACUUGAGUGCAAGAGGGGAGAGUGGAAUUCCAUGUGUAGCGGUGAAAUGCGUAGAUAUAUGGAGGAACACCGGUGGCGAAAGCGGCUCUCUGGCUUGUAACUGACGCUGAGGCUCGAAAGCGUGGGGAGCAAACAGGAUUAGAUACCCUGGUAGUCCACGCCGUAAACGAUGAGUGCUAGGUGUUAGACCCUUUCCGGGGUUUAGUGCCGUAGCUAACGCAUUAAGCACUCCGCCUGGGGAGUACGACCGCAAGGUUGAAACUCAAAGGAAUUGACGG